GAUCAUGGCUCAGGAUGAACGCUAGCUAUAGGCUUAACACAUGCAAGCCGAGGGGCAGCGGGAUUGAAGCUUGCUUCAAUUGCCGGCGACCGGCGCACGGGUGAGUAACGCGUAUCCAACCUUCCGUACACUCAGGGAUAGCCUUUCGAAAGAAAGAUUAAUACCUGAUGGUAUCUUAAGCACACAUGUAAUUAAGAUUAAAGAUUUAUCGGUGUACGAUGGGGAUGCGUUCCAUUAGGUAA
RNAcentral lists this ribosomal RNA (242 nucleotides) under uncultured bacterium. RNAcentral's name for it is "partial 16S ribosomal RNA". It matches the Rfam family "Bacterial small subunit ribosomal RNA", at positions 15 to 248 of the family's 1533-position model. The record is from RNAcentral.